Molecule: ribosomal RNA, 425 nt
Filed under: uncultured bacterium
Lineage: Bacteria
Description: bacterial SSU rRNA
Rfam family: Bacterial small subunit ribosomal RNA
Source: RNAcentral
GAAUAUUGGACAAUGGGCGCAAGCCUGAUCCAGCAAUGCCGCGUGUGUGAAGAAGGCCUGCGGGUUGUAAAGCACUUUCGACUGGGAAGAACGGGCUUGGGGUUAAUACCCUUGAGCAAUGACGGUACCAGCAGAAGAAGCACCGGCUAACUCCGUGCCAGCAGCCGCGGUAAUACGGAGGGUGCAAGCGUUAAUCGGAAUUACUGGGCGUAAAGCGCACGUAGGUGGUUUGGUAAGUCGGAUGUGAAAUCCCCGGGCUCAACCUGGGAAUGGCAUUCGAGACUGUCAAGCUAGAGUCUGGUAGAGGGUGGUGGAAUUCCAGGUGUAGCGGUGAAAUGCGUAGAUAUCUGGAGGAACAUCAGUGGCGAAGGCGGCCACCUGGACUGAGACUGACACUGAGGUGCGAAAGCGUGGGUAGCAAACAG